This 292-nucleotide long non-coding RNA is filed under the name Carica papaya (papaya). RNAcentral describes it as "long non-coding RNA (CPAP_LNC006662)". The record is from RNAcentral. Lineage: Eukaryota; Viridiplantae; Streptophyta; Magnoliopsida; Brassicales; Caricaceae.
AUAUAUAUUAUAAGAUCAAUAAUAACACACAUAAAUAUUCCAAAUUAAAGAGUUUUGAGCUGUGAUGAUUAGUAUUACUUAUAUACCUUGAGGAGUCUCUUUUAAUCUAGAUGCAAAGUGCACAAAUCAUAGGAAAAUCUACAUCAGAUAUUUUUUCCUUGCAAAUUAAGAUAAGAAGACCAAAUAACUAAAACUCAUCAAUUAAUCAAAUAUGGUUAAUAACUACUCAAAUCUAUAUCCAGAUAUAUAUUAUGUACAAAUACAAAGGUUUAUUCAUGCCUGAUAAGGUGAU